AGAAUCAACGCUGGCGGCGUGCCUAACACAUGCAAGUCGAGCGCGAAAGGGGAGCAAUCCCCAAGUAGAGCGGCGAACGGGUGAGUAACGCGUGGGUAAUCUACCUCCGAGUGGGGAACAACAGCGGGAAACUGCUGCUAAUACCGCAUGACAUCGUCGAGCCUUCGGGCCUGACGAUCAAAGCCGGGGACCGCAAGGCCUGGCGCUUGGAGACGAGCCCGCGUCCGAUUAGCUAGUUGGCGGGGUAACGGCCCACCAAGGCUCCGAUCGGUAACCGGCCUGAGAGGGCGACGGCCACGACUGGACUGAGACACGGCCCAGACUCCUACGGAGGCAGCAGUGGGAAUUUUCGCAAUGGGGAAACCCUGACGAAGCAACGCCGCGUGGAGGAUGAAGGCCGUUCGGGUCGUAAACGUCCUGUCGACCGGGACGAACGCUAUAGGACCCAAGUACGCUACGAUACGUCGACUGUACCGGUGGAGGAAGCCGACGC
This 493-nucleotide ribosomal RNA is filed under the name uncultured soil bacterium. RNAcentral describes it as "bacterial SSU rRNA". It matches the Rfam family "Bacterial small subunit ribosomal RNA", at positions 26 to 497 of the family's 1533-position model. The record is from RNAcentral.